GACUACGGCCAUGCCACCCUGAACAAGCCCGAUCCUGUCUGAUCUCGGAAGCUAAGUAGGGUCAGGCCUGGUUAGUACUUGGAUGGGAGACCACCUAGGAAGACCGGGUGCCUGUAGGCG
Ribosomal RNA from Pteropus vampyrus (large flying fox), 120 nucleotides. Lineage: Eukaryota; Metazoa; Chordata; Mammalia; Chiroptera; Pteropodidae. The record is from Ensembl.